RNAcentral lists this ribosomal RNA (460 nucleotides) under uncultured bacterium. Its description in RNAcentral is "partial 16S ribosomal RNA". It matches the Rfam family "Bacterial small subunit ribosomal RNA", at positions 338 to 795 of the family's 1533-position model. The record is from RNAcentral.
CCUACGGGAGGCAGCAGUGAGGAAUAUUGGUCAAUGGACGAGAGUCUGAACCAGCCAAGUCGCGUGCAGGAUGACUGCCCUAUGGGUUGUAAACUUCUUUUAUAUGGGAAUAAAAUGUUCCACGUGUGGGAUUUUGUAUGUACCAUAUGAAUAAGGAUCGGCUAACUCCGUGCCAGCAACCGCGGUAAUACGGAGGAUCCGAGCGUUAUCCGGAUUUCUUGGGUUUAAAGGGAGCGUAGGUGGAUUGUUAAGUCAGUUGUGAAAGUUUGCGGCUCAACCGUAAAAUUGCAGUUGAAACUGGCAGUCUUGAGUACAGUAGAGGUGGGCGGAAUUCGUGGUGUAGCGGUGAAAUGCUUAGAUAUCACGAAGAACUCCGAUUGCGAAGGCAGCUCACUGGACUGCAACUGACACUGAGGCUCGAAAGUGUGGGUAUCGAACAGGAUUAGAUACCCCAGUAGUC